Long non-coding RNA from Ooceraea biroi (clonal raider ant), 305 nucleotides. RefSeq lists it as uncharacterized. The record is from RefSeq and is a predicted model, not a curated record. Lineage: Eukaryota; Metazoa; Arthropoda; Insecta; Hymenoptera; Formicidae.
CUAGUUGGAUACAAAAUGGCGGAUUUAGUCCGUUCUUGUCAGCUGCACUGGUAACGUGUAUGUAUUAGUUGAGCAGUGCAGACAUAUCCGCAAUUAUUAAUAUUAUUAUCGUAAAGGGUCUCUAACAACGACUAGAGAGGGUCAAGGGAGAGUGUGGCCAAUAAGCCGGAAGCCGCCAUGUUGAGCACAAUGAGAUUGAAUUAAGAUCGAAAGCGUAUAUAUGUAUUGUAAAUGCGAAAGAAUGCAAAAUGUUAUGUAAAGAAGUAAUAUAAUCGUGUCAGUAACAUUCUACUAAAGAGUAAAUA